This 467-nucleotide ribosomal RNA is filed under the name uncultured bacterium. Its description in RNAcentral is "partial 16S ribosomal RNA". It matches the Rfam family "Bacterial small subunit ribosomal RNA", at positions 28 to 507 of the family's 1533-position model. The record is from RNAcentral.
GACGAACGCUGGCGGCGUGCUUAACACAUGCAAGUCGAACGGAAACGCUCCAGCUUGCUGGAGUACUCGAGUGGCGAACGGGUGAGUAACACGUGGGUAAUCUGCCCUGCACUCUGGGAUAAGCCUGGGAAACUGGGUCUAAUACUGGAUAUGACCUUUCUCCUUAUGGGGUUUGGUGGAAAGUUUUUCGGUGUAGGAUGAGCCCGCGGCCUAUCAGCUUGUUGGUGGGGUGAUGGCUUACCAAGGCGACGACGGGUAGCCGGCCUGAGAGGGUGAUCGGCCACAUUGGGACUGAGAUACGGCCCAGACUCCUACGGGAGGCAGCAGUGGGGAAUAUUGCACAAUGGGCGGAAGCCUGAUGCAGCGACGCCGCGUGAGGGAUGACGGCCUUCGGGUUGUAAACCUCUUUCAGCAGGGACGAAGCGUAAGUGACGGUACCUGCAGAAGAAGCACCGGCUAACUAUGUG